Molecule: non-coding RNA, 45 nt
Filed under: Schistosoma mattheei
Lineage: Eukaryota; Metazoa; Platyhelminthes; Trematoda; Strigeidida; Schistosomatidae
Source: RNAcentral
GUUCAGCCGACCAGUCCCAAAUAGGAUGAAACGCGUGUCUUGGAU